Molecule: long non-coding RNA, 2223 nt
Organism: Lolium rigidum
Lineage: Eukaryota; Viridiplantae; Streptophyta; Magnoliopsida; Poales; Poaceae
Exons: 4
Source: RefSeq, a predicted model, not a curated record
CCGCUGGCCUUGACGGCGUCCUCCUCCUUCCGCUUCCUCCAGGCGACUGGAGACUACGCGGCUCUCGCGGAGGGCUAGGUGACCCAGCGGGAUGCGCCAAGGGAGGUGGUCAGGUGGAGGGGCGGAUCUCGUCUCCACGGGAUUCGCUGCCGUGGCCUCCGCCACCGGAGUUCGGUGACUCUGGGUCGGCCUCCUCUCCGCCACCGACGCCGUCCGCCGCCAAAUGAGCUCCUUCCCACAUCAGAUGUCUUCAACGCCGCCGACCAUGGCAGCAUCACUCUGGCCGGGCUCACUACCGACGGACGGUCCUCUCCGGCUUCCUCCACUGCGAGUGCAUCACCCACGGCUUCGUCUACGACGCGCAGGUCCGUCCCUCUUGGCUCUCUCUCCGUCUAUGCGCGACCCCACUUUGAAUAUGUGAGAGACCAUUAAUCUUAAUCGUCGCUCCACCAGAGGUGGAGGGGCAUACCUCGUCUCCACUGGAUCCGCAGCCACAGCCACCACCACCGGCGUUCGAUGCCUCUGCGUCGUUCUGUAAUCUUAACCCUCACUCUUGUUCACGCGGCGGCAUCCGAUCGGACGACGAUGAUGCUGGAGGUCGACGUGGCAGGGACAUCGACGCCCGUGGAUGAGGCAAAGGGGCUCUGAAUCGGCGGCUGGAGGAGGCCAUCAGCGGGCAGGGUAGAAAAUAAGAAAGAAUCCAUGUGGCCUCUCUGGUUUCAGCCGGUAAUAUUUGAUCUGAGGUAUCGUGCAGUCCUGGUUUGCGUUAAAAAAUUACACAACGCUUUCAUGAUAUUUGUAUGAAAUUGUAGCAGGGAUAGGACAAAUCACUAUGAAAUAUACAUUGUGAAAAAUGCAUGCUCAAACUUGUGAUAUUCCCAGUUCGUUAAAUUACGAAUGUGAAUUCUGCAUUUUUCUGAACUCUGAUGCCUUUUCAUCACAUAGGAUGAACUAAUCACUAAGGCUGCGUUUGGUAGCAAAGUUUUCAAAAAUACUACAGUAUCAAAUACUUUGAUGUGUUUGGCUAUGACUAAAAAUUGCAGUAUUAAUACUUUAGUAUCCUUCAAACUGUAGUAUUUUUGAAGUAUUAAAUAAACAUGGUCGGACCACUUUUUUCUGAAACGGAGAACAAUGAAAACGUUCCCGCUGAUGCAAUCGUUCCUUAGUUUAUGCAUGCUUGCAUGGAAUCUGGUACCUCUGAUGCCCUUUACUAUACCUCACAAUAUUUUGUACUACAAGUACAAACGUAUUUCAAGUCUUUUGCUUGAAGCAGUAUUUUGAUUUUUCUUGCCGAAGUAUAAAAUGUUGACAGGUUCCAACAUUCAUUACUUGUUCCAGGUAGGUAGGUAGGACUAUAUCUCGAAUGCUUGAGCAACUGACGCAAUAACCAUGUGUAGACGUCUGAUGGUCAAACGUGAAUCGAAGGGACAGUAAAACAACACUUGCCAAACACCUUGUAGUUUUUGCCAAAAAUUAAAAAUACCACGGUAUCAUGAAACUGCAGUAUUUUUGUCCAUUCACAUAAAUACUUUAGUUUUACAGUACUUCAGUUUUAGAGAAACUUUGUUGCCAAACUAAGCCUAACUUGCAGUCCUCCUGUUAUAAAAUUUUGCGUAAGUGGAUGAGUUGUUGCGUAAGUGGAUGAGUUGUGAUUGGAACGCAUGUACGGAGUAUGUUUUUGGCAGUCAGCAAUUGUAUCCUCAUCCUAAGCUUAUGGCCUAGAUGUGUUUGGAGUUAUUUUGACAUAGUAAUCCAUGUUCAGAUAGUGUUAAUGCUUCUCCACAAAUCUACUGAAGGUGAUUCCUGAAUCUGAAUUGUUAGUAUGACAAUAUUGACCGAGAGCACUUAGUUCUGAAAACCAAUUAUAUAUACCAGUUCUUUCAGUGCUUAGAGAGCAGUCAGUUAUGAAACCGAUUCUAUUACACCAGAAGUUGAUGCUCAAUUUAAUAUAUAUAAGAGUUGUUUUAUAGAAUUCCCUUUCAUAGUUUCUAACUCGUUCUGAUUAUUUUGACUGCAGUGUUAAGAGAGCAUUCAGUUAUGAAAACUGAUUCUCCUGGUUGUAGAUGGCAUUCAUGCUUAACAGGUGUGUGUGGCAGAAUGUUGUCUCCACGGCGCCUGGAAGUGUUCCGACGGCGAUCAGUGUGUGGGAGUGUCUCCGGCGGCGAUUGGCGAGCGGGAAUGCUGCCACGCUGGAUUGCUUCGGCGGCGAUCGUGGAGGCUGGA